AGCCACAGCCAUGUCACCCUACAGCCCAAGAGCGGUUACUCGCUAAAGGUAAGCAGGGCUGAGCCUGAUUAGUGCCUGGAUGAGAGACCACAUGGGAAAACGAGGAUGCUGUUGGAA
Danio rerio (zebrafish) is the source of this 117-nucleotide ribosomal RNA. NCBI's taxonomy places the organism in Eukaryota, Metazoa, Chordata, Actinopteri, Cypriniformes, Danionidae. The record is from Ensembl.